GGAAUUGACGGGGCCCGCACAAGCGGUGGAGCAUGUGGUUUAAUUCGAUGCAACGCGAAGAACCUUACCUGGGCUUGACAUCCCGGGAAUCCCUUGGAAACAAGGGAGUGCCCUUCGGGGAACCUGGAGACAGGUGCUGCAUGGCUGUCGUCAGCUCGUGUCGUGAGAUGUAGGGUUAAGUCCCGCAACGAGCGCAACCCUUGUCUUUAAUUGCCAUCAUUGAGUUGGGCACUUUAAAGAGACUGCCGGUGUUAAACCGGAGGAAGGUGGGGAUGACGUCAAGUCCUCAUGGCCUUUAUGCCCAGGGCUACACACGUGCUACAAUGGGUGGUACAAAGGGUCGCGAACCCGCGAGGGGGAGCCAAUCCCAAAAAGCCGCUCUCAGUUCGGAUUGCAGGCUGCAACUCGCCUGCAUGAAGCCGGAAUCGCUAGUAAUCGCGGAUCAGCAUGCCGCGGUCGAAUACGUUCCCGGGCCUU
This 477-nucleotide ribosomal RNA is filed under the name uncultured Syntrophus sp. RNAcentral describes it as "bacterial SSU rRNA". It matches the Rfam family "Bacterial small subunit ribosomal RNA", at positions 906 to 1382 of the family's 1533-position model. Lineage: Bacteria; Pseudomonadati; Thermodesulfobacteriota; Syntrophia; Syntrophales; Syntrophaceae. The record is from RNAcentral.